Boleophthalmus pectinirostris (great blue-spotted mudskipper) is the source of this 2456-nucleotide RNA transcript. It is a transcript of the gene named rac GTPase-activating protein 1, with no coding region annotated. The record is from RefSeq and is a predicted model, not a curated record. Lineage: Eukaryota; Metazoa; Chordata; Actinopteri; Gobiiformes; Gobiidae. The transcript has 17 exons.
CCCUCUGCAGCUGAAAGUGUUCAACUGAUGAGAGUUUUGGAGACGGGAGCAGGAGAGGACCACUUGGACCCUAAGGGGGGGAAUCAAGUCUAAAUCAGCUCCAAACAAGCCUGGCCAGCCACGACUAUGCACAUCCUGUUAUAGAGCCUACUGAGAGAGGUGAGAGAGUGAUGGAGUCCCGGGCAGUGGAGGAGCUUCUGUCUCUGUGUUGGAGUCUGCAGCAGUCAUCCAUGAAUACUGAAAUGGAGUUUAUGGAGAUGGCAAAGUCGUUAGAGUCCUUGAGGAGGCGCUGUUUCACCGCAGAGUCUGAGUUAAAGAAGUACAAGGAGCUGCUGGUGAAGUCAGAUGUGGCCAAAGCGGCGCUGGAAGUGAAACUGAAGCAUGUGAGGAACCAGCUGGACCUAGAGAUGCAGAAACGACUACGAGUGGAGCGGGACUUCCAGUACCUGCAGAGACAGAUGCAGCUCAUGUGUGACAUCCUGGUCCAAGACUCGAAGUCCAGCUCCUGUUUAAAUGAAGAGCAGAAGUCUCUCCUCGCCACGUUUGAACACAAGAAUCAGGCCAGCACCAUUCACAAAGCAAGCAAGAGGUUGUCCGUGAUCGACGAGUCCUCGUUUCUGUCUCACUCGGAUAUCAGCUACGACCGAACAGAUGAUGAUGUGGACUUGGACUCUACAGUCAUCAAGCCCCUGAAGUCCAGAGCCAGAGAGAAACGGCGCUCUUCAAUGGGUGUGGUCUCUGCUGCUAACGGGCCAGUGGGAAAGAGGGUUAGGACCAGCAUCUCCACGGAGAUCCAGACCCACAUCCAGGACAGGAUGAACCUGAAUAAAGAGGUGGAGACCAUUGGGAAGGUGUCAGUCUGCUCUCCAGAAUCGUCUCAGAGCCACAUGGUGGUGGGGAUUACGCAAGAACAAAACCAAAGAACCAUACCAAGUGCAGAGCUGGCUCCAGUUGAUGCAGACCAAACAUCGGUGUGGUGUCCUUCUGAGGAGACUCUGGAACCAGAAACUGUGACCCGGACCGAGGACUUCUUCAGGACCAACUCCAGCUCCAGUACCUUUUCAAACAUCUGCAACAGAACACCCAUCCAGACGCCCUGCAAGACCAGCUACAAUAUUAACAAUAACACUAAUGGCACAAAGCACGUGUUCAUCUCGAAAACGGUGAUCCGUCCGGAGACGUGCUAUUGCUGUGGGAAGAGGAUGCGUUUUGGUAAAAUGGUGGUGAAGUGUAGAAACUGCAGAGUUGUGGUUCAUCCCGAGUGCAAGAACAAGUGUCCCGUGGGCUGCUCCUCAAUCAGACCUUCUCCACUGGGACCUCAGACCAAAGCAGGAACACAGAUCAAACCAGGCUCGCUGGAGAGCUUCUGUCCCACAGAGCGCCCCAGAGUUCCCCUGCUGGUGGUGGAGUGCAUCUCAGAGAUUGAGCGCCGUGGGCUUAAGGAGAGGGGCUUGUACAGAGUUCCUGGUGGUGACAGGGCAGUGAAGGAGCUCAGGGAGAGGUUUCUUUCUGGGAAAACAGCUCUGAAUUUGGGGAAGGUGGAGGAUGUGCACGUGAUCUGUUGUCUACUCAAAGACUUUCUCAGGAAACUCCCAGAGCCCCUCAUCACGUUUCGACUGCACAAACUUUUCAUGGAGACUGCAGAAAUUGAGGAUGAGAGAGGAACUGUGAUUCUCUACAAAGCCAUCUCUGAACUUCCUCCACCCAACAAAGACACUCUGGCCAUCAUCCUGCUGCACCUGCACAAAGUGAUGGUGAGUGCCGAGUGCCACAUGGACCACAGUAACCUCUGCCGGGUUUUUGGACCAACGUUAAUAGGACAUGCAUUAGCAGAACCUUCUCCAACAACAAUAAUGAGGGACACGGCCAAUCAGCAUAAGGUGAUGAGUCGGCUGCUAUCCAUUCCUGUUGAUUAUUGGAAAAGGAUUCUGUCUCACACUGAGCAAACUCCUACAUCUGUUCCCCCAUUGGUCAGUGAGACUCCAACCUCUGUAAAGACGACCAGUCAGGAUGAAAAACCCAGUCGGUUGUUCAAGCCCGUGACAUCUCCAGAACUCAGCUCGUACAGAAACCGCCAGGGGUCUAUAACAGGACGAUUACGCAACUUGGGACAUGCCGGCAAUGUGGGCCGAGGUGAUCCCAGUAGACGCUUCUUCACAUCUCCAAGUUGAACCAAAAAAACAAAACAAAAAAGUAAUCUCCGUCAUCCAUAGAAAUGAGCUGUAUGGAAAAGUAAAUUUUAAAAGAAAAGUUUAAUCUUUACGGUGGAACAAAGACGGCAAUACAUUUCCAUGGAGAUGCACUCGGAAUGUUACGCAAUGCACCAUUUAUUUUAUUGUUUUGUAUUUUGACUCCAUAUAUCAUAGCAGAUCAUUGAGUUUGAGCAGCAAAUUGAGUUUUGUCUUUACCAAAUUUAAUCAUCUUCAAUUUGUAUCUUGCAGCCCAAUAAAACUGCU